UACACGCGACGUAUCGAAAGGAUAUGCCGUAUGCGCACCUCAACAGCAGCUGGCAGAUUAGAUACACACUUGAAAGCCCGGCGUGUCUUUCUCUCUCUCUCUGCAAGACGAAAGAGUGGAAGAGCCUAGGCGGUAAAAAAAAAGAAAACGCAAACUAAACCAAGACAAAAAAAAAGGCACGCUGCUGUUUGAAGCGAAUGCGCCGUGCGGGAUGGCGCGCGGUGACACCGACAGCCGCUGUGGUCGGCAGUACUCGUGUGUCCCAGGCACUCGCGUUGCCAUCGUCUGCGUCGUCCUGGUCAUUGUGCGACUGCUCGUACGUGUCGGCUCAGUGCCGCUUUCAUCACGCUGUUGGCCUCCUUGGGCGCACGCGGAUUACCCGCUUUGAUCUGCGCAAGCACGAGAUGGAGAAACGGCGUCUUCGCGAGCUGGAGAAGGCCGGCAUCGACCCGACGGACGACGACGACGCGCCGUGGAUCGCCCCUGAGGAGCAGCAGCGGCUGGACGAGGAGGAGGAGAGGCGGCGUGCCGAGAUGGAGGAGCAGCGGCAAGCGUUUAUAAAGAAGCGUGCUGAGGAGGAUGCGGUGAAGCGGCAGAAGUUCAAGGAGUUCCGAGCGAAACAGAUUGCCAUGAGUCGGCACCGCAAGGAGGCAGCGGCAGAGAAGAAGGAGGAGGCGCGGCAGCACCGUCAGCAGACAAGCCGUGUCGAGGUUGCUAAGGAGGCGAAUGCUGCGGAGGAUGGCGUGGAUGCCAAAGGCGCAUCUCACCACGGCACACAGUAGGGGAGGAAACAGCCGCCGCAGUGCUGCUUCCAUCGCCGUGCACGUGCCUUCUGCGGCUUGUGCAUACACGGUAGGAGCUGCCCACGGGAGCUCACACCGUCCUGACCGUGUUCCCCACAUGACGUGGACACGGCUCAUUUUUGUCGUUCUGUUUUCUCACAUAUCACGGACAAAAUGUCGAACACACGCCAAGCGGCGCAUCUUUCUCCACCCCACUCAUCUGCAUCUACGGCCUCAUCAUGGGCUGAUGCACCUCUGGGAUUGAGAUACGCAUGCAUGUGUGCGAGCCGUGGUAGUGAAUAUGCCCUUUCGUGCAUCGUGCCUCCGCUUUAGGAGAGAGAAGGGGGUGGGGCGUCGGGGGAGAUGUGCGCAUGUGUGUGAUCGCUUUCUCGCUUCCUGGCGCUCCCCUCAAGGAGCACGGAACGACGCUUUUCGUUUCUCAUCCUCGCAGGUAUGCGAAGUCGAUGCACCCCCGUCCCCCUCACAAACGGACGCACGGGAUGCCGUGUCUGCUCUCACGGUGCUCGGCAUGCGGCUUCUCCCAUUUGAUUACCCCCCUCCCUCCUCUCCGUGUCUGUCCGUCUCUCCCCUUUUUAAAUCCUUUGCAUCACAAUGUGACUCGCGUGCACUUCUCCACCCUGACCACCUCGGCGCGUGCAUUGCGCGGCCACACCCUGCAUGGCUUCAUCAG
This 1473-nucleotide unclassified non-coding RNA is filed under the name Leishmania donovani. RNAcentral describes it as "gene:LdHU3.36.6250(CDS-product:hypothetical_prote in_conserved)". Lineage: Eukaryota; Euglenozoa; Kinetoplastea; Trypanosomatida; Trypanosomatidae. The record is from RNAcentral.